This 259-nucleotide ribosomal RNA is filed under the name uncultured prokaryote. RNAcentral describes it as "partial 16S ribosomal RNA". It matches the Rfam family "Bacterial small subunit ribosomal RNA", at positions 917 to 1177 of the family's 1533-position model. The record is from RNAcentral.
GGGCCCGCACAAGCGGUGGAGCAUGUGGUUUAAUUCGAAGCAACGCGAAGAACCUUACCAGGUCUUGACAUACUCGUGCUAUUCCUAGAGAUAGGACUUUCCUUCGGGACAGAGGUGACAGGUGGUGCAUGGUUGUCGUCAGCUCGUGUCGUGAGAUGUUGGGUUAAGUCCCGCAACGAGCGCAACCCUUAUUGUUAGUUGCCAUCAUUCAGUUGGGCACUCUAGCAAGACUGCCGGUGACAAACCGGAGGAAGGUGGG